GAGGGUAUAGCUCAAGAGGUAGAGCACAUGCUUAGCAUGCAUGAGGUCCUGGAUUCAAUUCCCGGUACCCCCU
RNAcentral lists this transfer RNA (73 nucleotides) under Camelus bactrianus (Bactrian camel). It matches the Rfam family "tRNA". Rfam says of the family: Transfer RNA (tRNA) molecules are approximately 80 nucleotides in length. Their secondary structure includes four short double-helical elements and three loops (D, anti-codon, and T loops). Further hydrogen bonds mediate the characteristic L-shaped molecular structure. tRNAs have two regions of fundamental functional importance: the anti-codon, which is responsible for specific mRNA codon recognition, and the 3' end, to which the tRNAs corresponding amino acid is attached (by aminoacyl-tRNA synthetases). tRNAs cope with the degeneracy of the genetic code in two manners: having more than one tRNA (with a specific anti-codon) for a particular amino acid; and 'wobble' base-pairing, i.e. permitting non-standard base-pairing at the 3rd anti-codon position. Lineage: Eukaryota; Metazoa; Chordata; Mammalia; Artiodactyla; Camelidae. The record is from Rfam by way of RNAcentral. RNAcentral also lists the same sequence under 2 other names.